This 465-nucleotide ribosomal RNA is filed under the name uncultured bacterium. RNAcentral's name for it is "partial 16S ribosomal RNA". It matches the Rfam family "Bacterial small subunit ribosomal RNA", at positions 338 to 795 of the family's 1533-position model. The record is from RNAcentral.
CCUACGUGAGGCUGCAGUAGGGAAUCUUCCACAAUGGGCGAAAGCCUGAUGGAGCAACGCCGCGUGGGUGAAGAAGGUCUUCGGAUCGUAAAACCCUGUUGUUAGAGAAGAAAGUGCGUGAGAGUAACUGUUCACGUUUCGACGGUAUCUAACCAGAAAGCCACGGCUAACUACGUGCCAGCAGCCGCGGUAAUACGUAGGUGGCAAGCGUUAUCCGGAUUUAUUGGGCGUAAAGGGAACGCAGGCGGUCUUUUAAGUCUGAUGUGAAAGCCUUCGGCUUAACCGGAGUAGUGCAUUGGAAACUGGGAGACUUGAGUGCAGAAGAGGAGAGUGGAACUCGAUGUGUAGCGGUGAAAUGCGUAGAUAUAUGGAAGAACACCAGUGGCGAAAGCGGCUCUCUGGUCUGUAACUGACGCUGAGGUUCGAAAGCGUGGGUAGCAAACAGGAUUAGAUACCCUAGUAGUC